GCCGCCGUGCUGGCUGUCACAGGUGGAUGGACGCACUUUGAAAACUGAAAGCUUGAGGAACCGAAGGCGUGGGUUAUCAUGUAAUCUGUGGGUCGCGGGUUCGAGUCCCGUCGGCGGCU
Molecule: transfer RNA, 119 nt
Filed under: Armatimonadota bacterium
Lineage: Bacteria; Bacillati; Armatimonadota
Also listed under: 1 other name
Description: Armatimonadetes bacterium (marine sediment metagenome) tRNA-OTHER
Source: RNAcentral